Molecule: ribosomal RNA, 569 nt
Filed under: Corallina crassissima
Lineage: Eukaryota; Rhodophyta; Florideophyceae; Corallinales; Corallinaceae
Description: eukaryotic LSU rRNA
Rfam family: Eukaryotic large subunit ribosomal RNA
Source: RNAcentral
AUGGAAAGCACUUUGAAAAGAGGGUGAAAAGCACCUGAAACCGCCAUGGGGGAAGCGGAUUGCAUCAGUGUUUGCUUGUAUCUGUUCAGCUAUCAAAUUGGUAGUGUAUUCAGUACUUGCUGUGUUGGCAUGGCUGCUUUGGCUUUGGAUUAUGCAAGGCUAAGUGGUGAGGGCUCCUUUCUAGUUGAGGAUGUCAACAAAAUGAUGCGACCCGACCCGUCUUGAAACACGGACCAAGGAGUCUAGCACUACUGCAAGUCGAAGGGUUUAAAAACUCAGGGGCGAAGUGAAAGCGAAUAUUAGGAGAUCUGAUACAGAUUAGGGAGGUGUUGCGACGUUGUCAAAAUAUCCUACCCAGAGCAGUUGUGCUGGGACCCGAAAGAUGGUGAACUAUGCCGGAAUAGGGCAAAGCCAGAGGAAACUCUGGUGGAGGCUCGUAGCGAUGCUGACGUGCAAAUCGCUCGUCGAAUUUGGGUAUAGGGGCGAAAGACUAAUCGAACCAUCUAGUAGCUGGUUCCCUCCGAAGUUUCUCUCAGGAUAGCGGGCCGACGAUGUGUGUUGUUUUGUGU